UACGUAGGGUGCGAGCGUUGUCCGGAAUUACUGGGCGUAAAGAGCUCGUAGGUGGUUUGUCACGUCGUCUGUGAAAUUCCGGGGCUUAACCUCGGGCGUGCAGGCGAUACGGGCAAUACUUGAGUGCUGUAGGGGAGACUGGAAUUCCUGGUGUAGCGGUGAAAUGCGCAGAUAUCAGGAGGAACACCAAUGGCGAAGGCAGGUCUCUGGGCAGUUACUGACGCUGAGGAGCGAAAGCAUGGGUAGCGAACAGGAUUA
Molecule: ribosomal RNA, 258 nt
Filed under: uncultured prokaryote
Description: partial 16S ribosomal RNA
Rfam family: Bacterial small subunit ribosomal RNA
Source: RNAcentral